GCAUAUUCUUAUUCCAAGCAAGCUCAUAGAGGAUCCAGAGAAAUGAAAACGCAUCAAACUGUAAGUUAUCAUGGCUGAAGCUGGUUAAAGCAGAUCUCCUGUACUUCAAUUACUCAAAAUGCUUCAUUUCUGCAGACUGCUUUAAUAAACGGAAGUACAUGCCAUAAGUCUACAGGAGGCAAUAGGUCAUUCUCCAUUGGAGAAGCUUCAAAACAGAUUGUUCCUUUUGGGAGAGGUAGAAGCUCAGAACAAAUUGGAGAUCUUUCCAUGGCACUGGCUUUUGCUCUUGAGAAUGGAGGAAAACUCAGAAGAAUGGAUUCGUCUGGCAAUAGUUCUGUGCUGGGUUUCCUGAAUCAGAUUGGCAGAAGAUCAGUGGACAUGGCCAAGAUAGAAAGAAGCAGCAUUGAUAGGCACAGCUCAGCAACUAGCCGCUUCCCUACCCUUUCUCAUCUCCAUAUCAAAGAAAUAUCUAAAGGGGCACAAAAAUUAAAUCAGAUCCUGAAAGCCUGUUCUAAUGGUGUUAACUUUGAUAGAUAUUCAAUAGAAAUUGGUAGGGAACUAUUGAAGGGAGCCAUGGAUUUAGAAGAGUCCCUUCGGAUGCUAGUAAACCUGCAAGAAGCUUCAGAGUACAUGAUCAGCCCACAAAGCAAAACUCGGAUCACGUUGCUUGAUGAUGAUGAAGAUGACAAUGAUAUCAUUGUCAAAACAGAUGAGAAUAAGCAACUUGCUCGGCCAAUCUUCUCCUUUGACAAGCCUUCAAGGAAUUCUCAUUACAUCCACGAAGCUGCAAGAACUGAUCUCAAGCAAAGGCUAAUGGCCCUGACUUACAAAUCAGAAACUACAAACUUCGGCCAUGAUAAUCACACUUUACGCACCUUAAAUUCUCAGAGGCGAUCAGCUAGCCACAACCCCAAUGUUAAAAAUCUAAUGGCAUUCUCAGAGCAUAAAAAGCAUUCAAGUCCAUCAAUAUUGAAACCAGAAAAUGGGAGAAUUCCAAAUGUAAUUGCAAAAUUAAUGGGGUUGGAGGAACUUCCAGAAAAUGAUGAUUCAAAGUAUAUCACAAAGAAAGAGUCCAGUUCCAAGGGAAAAACUGAGCGGAUAGUUGCAAAGAAAACUGCAGAGGUUACCCAUGAACGGAAGACAAAAGAUGCUGGGACUUUGGGGUCAGAUAUCAGAAAACAUAAACAGAUGCAACCCAACCAAAUUCAAUUGACCCAGGACACAACACAUAGCUUGCAUGCAGAAAGGAAUCUAGCAAGUCAACAUGCUAGCUUUGAAGGGACUUCUCAUCAUGGAAAAUUACUGCAGAAGGAUGUGGAAGGGAUAAAACCAAUGAGAAGCUCAAACAAGGUCAACAUGAAAAUAGGCAAGCAUCAGAGCAACAUUGACCAACCAAGCCAAAGAAUAGGAAGUCGCAAGGAUAUUCAGGAGAAAGAGAGGAAACAGGAUAAUCCUAAGCUGAGAGAACAGAAAGGCAAAGAAAAAGGAGAAACUAAGGUACUAAAGCAACAGCUACAGCAGAUGACACAUCAGACACUAAAUGGAUCUGAAGCUGCAAUUGUGCUGCAAGGGCAAGCAGAAUGCAAUUUGACGAUGCUUAAAACAGAAAUGAGAGAUGCACAUAUGCUGCUAUCCAACAAUCAAGCAAAGUCUGCCAACAAUCUUGCAUUCCAACAGCAGCAAAUGCUCCAAAAUUUUGAGUCAUUGGACAUAAAGCAUCACGCAGUAGAUAAUGAGCAUCAGAACAUUAAACAGAAGAUACAAGUGAGAAGGCAAAUAGGAAGUGAAUCCAGGAGCUUGCCAAAAAAGUAUCCACACACAAGCCAAGCAAUAACUAAUAAUGGAAGCUCCACAGAAUCAACUGGCACAAUGCAAUCCAUGGGAUUUCCAAAUAGGUGGCACCAUGGAGAUCUUGUCCAAGACAAAAAUUCUCCUAAUUUCAAUGUUACCAUGCAAGAUUCAAUGGACAAGAACUCAAAUCAAAAUAUGUCUCCAAGAAAUCUGAACUCUGAAGUAAUGAAAGAAAAAAAUAUAACCACCAUUCCACCAGUAAUGGAAGAGAAACCUGUUCAUCUAACAGCUGUGCAGAAAGUAAAAGUUACAAAAGUUCAAAAAGCUAUGGCUCCUCGAAAGAUUGAUGAACUACCGACAAGAAGAAGUGGAAAUCCUCACAACUUGGCAAGGCCACUGAAACAUCAGACUUCCAUGUUGCAAGAAGUGAAGCAGAAAAGGCAUAACAGACUUGGUCAAUCCAAGGAAGAAGAGCGAGUCAGAUCCAACAGGUCCAAAGAAGCAGAGGCAGGCAUUAAAAAAUCCAACAAAUCAGUAUCAAGCACACGACAACCAAACAUGGUGGAAGAACUACAAAGUCAACCUGAACAAGCUUCCAACUUGUGCAUUCCUCCUACAGAUGAUGAAUGCCAAAGCCUAAAAGGACCAGAAAUCCUAGCUCCAAAUGAAAAUGUAAGCUUGUUCAUUACUCUGAAGUAGUGAGCUAAUGAAGGCUCUUUUUGGUGUUGCACAGUCAUCAUCGGUGAUAAAUGAUCAACAAGGUUAUGACCCUGAUUUUGGCAUAGGCAAACACAAAUCUCAUAGCAUUGUAUUGGAUCCACUUAAUCGUAAGUAUCAUAGUACAUUGUUUUAUUUCACUUCUCAGAGCCCUACAGAAUUGUUGAUUAAGAACUGAGUUGGUGAUCACUCAGUCAACAUGUCCCAGUUCAUUUACUACAUCCAAUUUUCCCAUGUAUAUUUGACAAUUUAUUUGGGCUAAAGACCAAAUAGUAUCAGUAAGCGCUUCCAAAAUAAAGGCUUCUAAUGUCAAAGGUCAUUAUUGGAUUUUUGCAGGAACUCAUGAAGGCAAGAUAGUUAUAAGUUACCCCCAACAAUUGGAGAAUCAAAAAGUAUCUGAAUUGGAAACUCUAGAGCCGCUAACAGAAAGUGAAAAUCACCUCAAGCAUAUCCUGAUAAAAAGUCAACUAUUUCUUAAUACAGCAGAAGCACUUUUCAAACUCAAUAUUCCUCCUGACAUUCUUCAUGCUGGUGGUCAUGAUUGUCAUGAUGAAGAGAGCAAGCUCAUAUUAGACUGUGGCUAUGAAGUAAUGAAAAGAAAAGGGAAAAGGCAAGAGCUCGAUGUUCAUCCUUUCAUGAGGAUUUCUAUCACUUCUCUUAAGAUAAGAUCCUUGUAUGACUUGAUUAAGCAGUUGCAUAAAGAUUUUGAGAAGUUAAAAUAUAAAGCGGAAUGCAUUAUUGAAGAUUACCUCCCCAAAAUGCUCGAGCUUGAUGUCUACAACAGGGAUCUAGAUGUGAAUUGUAUGUGGGACUUCGGCUGGCAUGAGAUGAUGUUCACAUUUCUCGAAAAAGAUGAUGUUAUAAGGGAUGUGGAGAGGCAUGUGCUCAAUGCACUCCUUGAUGAGGUUACCAGAGAUCUGCUAGUAUUUUCAUUAUAUUGAAGAAUAAUAACUAGUAAUAUAUAUAAAGAAAGUUGGCUUUCCAAUGUAUAUAUAAACAAGAAUUUUGUGUGGCUUAUUUGGCGUUCAUCCAAGGCAACUUGAAUUGUACUUCUUAUUUUUUGCUCAAUUGUAAUGCUUACCAUAGAUAUUCUGCUUGUGUAUAAGUGAAGUUCAAUCAUAUGAUUGUCCAAACUAGUUAUUCAUCUAUUUUUCCACCCAAUUUUAAAAGCA
This 3680-nucleotide unclassified non-coding RNA is filed under the name Hevea brasiliensis (rubber tree). The record is from RNAcentral. Lineage: Eukaryota; Viridiplantae; Streptophyta; Magnoliopsida; Malpighiales; Euphorbiaceae.